GAUUUCUGUUUCCGACCUUGUAUAGGAAUUAACAUGAAUGGAGACUGAUGGAACAGCUCCAGGUGGGACACCGGUCUCUGUUGCUUAACAGUCAAAAGAAGUCUGAAAGCAUCAGUGGGGAUUGCAAGUUCUACAGAUAUUUGGAAUUUAUGCAAAAACUUAUGGCAUGAGAAAUCUUGGAGGGUGGAGGCCUUGUGACAUCACUCCUCUGGGGUUAAAGAGCGUCACUGCGACAUGCUGAAACCAUAACAACGUGGUUUUUCUGCAUUUACACAGCUGAGGUGUGUGUUGUUGGUUUGAGUCAUGUCUGACACUUUAAUUCCCUCCUUUCCUGUCCUGAAAGCUUGUAAGAAACAGCCAAUCUGACUUUGACACAUGGUCACAGAGGAUCAUAU
This is a long non-coding RNA of Syngnathoides biaculeatus (alligator pipefish), 395 nucleotides long. RefSeq lists it as uncharacterized. NCBI's taxonomy places the organism in Eukaryota, Metazoa, Chordata, Actinopteri, Syngnathiformes, Syngnathidae. The record is from RefSeq and is a predicted model, not a curated record. The transcript has 3 exons.